GUGAUUUGAAAGUUUAUAUUCAAUUUAACAAAAUCUUAAUAGAUUUAUUUACUCUAUGUUUAUUUGUGUAUAUUUUAUAACUUCUAGUGCGGAGUGAAUGUUAAUGAUAAUGGUUACCACACCAGUAAUAUUGCAGCGGUCAAUGUUAACAUUUUUAUCACAUGUGACUUUGCUAUGCCAGUGUUUACCAGUAACGCAUGAUGGUGACGAUCGAGGAUGAAGGAAUCAAUAACAGUAUCAUCAAGGUUACUGCUAUACGACACAGACGUAUUGUGAGCUGUAAUGCAGGACUUACACCUGGUGUCCAUACUGUCAAAUAUGCAGAAAUAAGCAUGAAAUGGAGACAACAAUGCCAAGAUAAAUCAGUAUUGCCAGCCACAAGCACUGACACUUGAAUACCAAAAAAAUACUGGCUGAAUAACGAACAGUGCAGAUCAUGAUCAGACUGCACUGAAGGCAGAAUCAGUCGUGUCCAUGAUGAUGAGAAUCAGGAGCCUGAUGUGU
This is a long non-coding RNA of Mercenaria mercenaria, 504 nucleotides long. RefSeq lists it as uncharacterized. The transcript has 3 exons. NCBI's taxonomy places the organism in Eukaryota, Metazoa, Mollusca, Bivalvia, Venerida, Veneridae. The record is from RefSeq and is a predicted model, not a curated record.